RNAcentral lists this ribosomal RNA (1009 nucleotides) under Staphylococcus epidermidis. RNAcentral's name for it is "bacterial SSU rRNA". It matches the Rfam family "Bacterial small subunit ribosomal RNA", at positions 57 to 1047 of the family's 1533-position model. Lineage: Bacteria; Bacillati; Bacillota; Bacilli; Caryophanales; Staphylococcaceae. The record is from RNAcentral.
GCAGUCGAGCGNCNGACGAGGAGCUUGCUCCUCUGACGUUAGCGGCGGACGGGUGAGUAACACGUGGAUAACCUACCUAUAAGACUGGGAUAACUUCGGGAAACCGGAGCUAAUACCGGAUAAUAUAUUGAACCGCAUGGUUCAAUAGUGAAAGACGGUUUUGCUGUCACUUAUAGAUGGAUCCGCGCCGCAUUAGCUAGUUGGUAAGGUAACGGCUUACCAAGGCAACGAUGCGUAGCCGACCUGAGAGGGUGAUCGGCCACACUGGAACUGAGACACGGUCCAGACUCCUACGGGAGGCAGCAGUAGGGAAUCUUCCGCAAUGGGCGAAAGCCUGACGGAGCAACGCCGCGUGAGUGAUGAAGGUCUUCGGAUCGUAAAACUCUGUUAUUAGGGAAGAACAAAUGUGUAAGUAACUAUGCACGUCUUGACGGUACCUAAUCAGAAAGCCACGGCUAACUACGUGCCAGCAGCCGCGGUAAUACGUAGGUGGCAAGCGUUAUCCGGAAUUAUUGGGCGUAAAGCGCGCGUAGGCGGUUUUUUAAGUCUGAUGUGAAAGCCCACGGCUCAACCGUGGAGGGUCAUUGGAAACUGGAAAACUUGAGUGCAGAAGAGGAAAGUGGAAUUCCAUGUGUAGCGGUGAAAUGCGCAGAGAUAUGGAGGAACACCAGUGGCGAAGGCGACUUUCUGGUCUGUAACUGACGCUGAUGUGCGAAAGCGUGGGGAUCAAACAGGAUUAGAUACCCUGGUAGUCCACGCCGUANACGAUGAGUGCUAAGUGUUAGGGGGUUUCCGCCCCUUAGUGCUGCAGCUAACGCAUUAAGCACUCCGCCUGGGGAGUACGACCGCAAGGUUGAAACUCANAGGAAUUGACGGGGACCCGCACAAGCGGUGGAGCAUGUGGUUUAAUUCGAAGCAACGCGAAGAACCUUACCAAAUCUUGACAUCCUCUGACCCCUCUAGAGAUAGAGUUUUCCCCUUCGGGGGACAGAGUGACAGGUGGUGCAUG